Sorghum bicolor (sorghum) is the source of this 805-nucleotide long non-coding RNA. RefSeq lists it as uncharacterized. Lineage: Eukaryota; Viridiplantae; Streptophyta; Magnoliopsida; Poales; Poaceae. The record is from RefSeq and is a predicted model, not a curated record. The transcript is spliced from 4 exons.
AUCUCCAGAGCCUCUGUCUCCUGCCAACAGUUGGGCCGCCCUUGCCAAUCUCUGGAAUUAUAGGAUAGCCUCACUGUGCCCACAGUUUAUAAUCCCGAGCACCUUGCCACCAGCUAGGAAAACACAUGCCUAUGUGCAUACCUCUCCUGCAGCCAUGGUUAAACUUGCAUAUGUUUCGUCGGCCUUCCAUGCAUGCAGACAUCCAUCACCAGGUUCAAUGUGAUUGUUGUUUCAUGGUCGGGUUAUUUAUUGAUAGGCCUAUGUCAUCUCGAAGUAACUAUUGGUGUUGGAAUUCAGGUUAAUCUAUUUGAUAUUUUGCCAGGGCUAUUCGAUGGACAUCUCAAAUGUGUGUGAUCUGAGGGCUACUUUGCAGUAACAAAGUUAUUAGGAUUGGAGUGUAUGUUCUGUUUGAAUAGCCCGAUGUGAUCGGUGAUCCAUAUUGGAGUUCUGGGCUUCAGGCAAGGCAAAUUGCACAAGGUUAACUAAGUAAUGUGAGCCUUCCAAACUCCUAGAACCGAGAAAUGUGGGCACCAAAUGUGGACCUCAAGUUAGUUGCCAAUAUUACCAAGAUUCAGGCAGUAAUCAGUAAGAAGGAACUGACAACUUACCCCCUUGACAUGUCUCUGUGUAACAACAGCUCACAAAUUCUAUGGUUGAACCAUACAAGGCAUGUCUCCCUUUGCAUUCAGAUAUUUUUAAUGUUUAGAAGAUAUACAAAAGUUAUGAUAUUUUAUACCUAUGCUUAUGUAAUUAACAAAACAACUACAAUUUAUCUCUCCUUUAUGAUAAUUUUAAAUCUAUGUAA